This 519-nucleotide ribosomal RNA is filed under the name Candidatus Ornithoclostridium faecavium. RNAcentral describes it as "partial 23S ribosomal RNA". It matches the Rfam family "Bacterial large subunit ribosomal RNA", at positions 1 to 522 of the family's 2925-position model. Lineage: Bacteria; Bacillati; Bacillota; Clostridia; Christensenellales; Christensenellaceae. The record is from RNAcentral.
GAUCAAGCUACGAAGGGCGUAAGGUGGAUGCCUUGGCACUAGGCGCCGAAGAAGGACGUGACAAGCUGCGAAAAGCUACGGGGAGUUGCACAUGAACUUUGAUCCGUAGAUAUCCGAAUGGGGGAACCCACCUGCCGCAGGGCAGGUACUCAUACAUGAAUAAAUAGUGUAUAGAGAGGGAACCCGGGGAACUGAAACAUCUAAGUACCCGGAGGAAAAGAAAAUAAACAAAUGAUUUCCUGAGUAGUGGCGAGCGAAAGGGAAAGAGCCCAAACCUUUAUAUAGUGAUAUAUGAAGGGGUAGAGGACUCACAUAGAGCGAACAUAGAUAGCCGAACAAUCUGGAAAGGUUGGUCAGAGAGGGUGAAAAUCCCGUAGGCGAAAUCGAGGGUGAGCAGUGAGUAUCCGGAGUACCACGGGACACGAGGAAUCUUGUGGGAAAAUGCGGGGACCAUCCCGUAAGGCUAAAUACGACCUAGUGACCGAUAGCGUAUAGUACUGUGAAGGAAAGGUGAAAAGA